Molecule: ribosomal RNA, 253 nt
Filed under: uncultured bacterium
Lineage: Bacteria
Description: partial 16S ribosomal RNA
Rfam family: Bacterial small subunit ribosomal RNA
Source: RNAcentral
CACGUAGGGCGCAAGCGUUGUCCGGAAUUAUUGGGCGUAAAGAGCUCGUAGGCGGUCUGUUGCGUCUGCUGUGAAAACUCGGGGCUUAACCCCGAGCCUGCAGUGGAUACGGGCAGACUAGAGGUAGGUAGGGGAGAAUGGAAUUCCCGGUGUAGCGGUGAAAUGCGCAGAUAUCGGGAGGAACACCGGUGGCGAAGGCGGGUCUCUGGGCCGAUACUGACGCUGAGGAGCGAAAGCGUGGGGAGCAAACAGG